RNAcentral lists this unclassified non-coding RNA (694 nucleotides) under Hevea brasiliensis (rubber tree). The record is from RNAcentral. Lineage: Eukaryota; Viridiplantae; Streptophyta; Magnoliopsida; Malpighiales; Euphorbiaceae.
ACCCUUGAGCCCCUUUUCCCAGGGACAUCUGAUAUAGAUCAACUCAGCAGAAUUUUCAAUGUUUUGGGCAAUUUAACAGAGGAAGUGUGGUCAGGAUGUUGGAAACUUCCUGAUUAUGAAACAAUUUCUUUUGCUAAUAUUGAAAAUCCUAUUGGUUUAGAAGCCUCCCUCCCUAACCAUUCCCUUGAUGAAGUCUCUCUAGUCGAGAAGCUGGUUUGUUAUGACCCAGCUAACAGAGCUACAGCAAUGGAACUGCUCCAUGAUGAGUACUUCGGCAAAGAGCCUCUUCCAGUCCCCAUAUCUGAGCUUCGUGUACCUUUGACAAAUGGAGGGCAAAAUGGGGAUUCUCCUGGUGGAUGGUAUGACUACAACGAUAGGGAAUCUGAUUCUGAUUUUGAUGAGUUUGGCCCUAAGGAUAUCACAACCACCAGUACUGGUUUUUCUCUACAGUUUUCCUGAGCUCAAAGACGAUGAGGCCUGUUUUCUGUAGCUUGUGGAAUUUCAUAAUUUAAUUAUACAAUAUAUCUUGUCCCAAAAUACCCUGGACCUUGUGUUCAUGUUGAAGUAAUACAAAAAAGUUUUUGCUCUUGGCAAAUCUGUUUCAAAAGGAUUUGUAAUAAUUCUGAGUGAAGGAAAUGACAUGAAUGAUCUGCUUGUUAUCAGAAAGUAAAUUAUCAUGUAUUGCAUUGCUCCC